RNAcentral lists this long non-coding RNA (253 nucleotides) under Daucus carota (carrot). RNAcentral's name for it is "long non-coding RNA (DCAR_LNC002735)". Lineage: Eukaryota; Viridiplantae; Streptophyta; Magnoliopsida; Apiales; Apiaceae. The record is from RNAcentral.
CGGACACUGCACGGGCUAACUCCUCAGGAUCCAUUGCCCCCAGAUGCCCUCCUAGUGUGAGAAGAAGCUCUCGAUCCCUGCAUAUAGCUCUGACACAGUCAGCGGGAGUAUGAUGACUAGCUGGAUGAGUCGAAAACUGUGAAGACUGUGUGCUCCCCGAGCCAUAAAUGGAUGGGCGAGUUCUUCGGCCUUGACCCUUAACAUAAUUCUUCUUCACAAUAGAUGCUCUCUCCCACAACUCCUGGUCAAUAUG